AACUAUAACGGUCCUAAGGUAGCGAAAUUCCUUGUCAGGUAAGUUCUGACCCGCAUGAAAGGCGUAAUGAUUUGGGCACUGUCUCAACAGCCCGCCCGGCGAAAUUGUAGUACCGGUGAAGAUGCCGGUUACCCGCGACAAGACGGAAAGACCCCAUGGAGCUUUACUGUAGCCUAAUAUUGGGUUUCGAUGUUGCAUGCACAGGAUAGAUGGGACACUGGGAAGCAGGUGCUUUGGCGCUUGUGGAGUGGCCGUUGGGAUACCAUCCUUGCGAUAUUGGAAUUCUAACCUGCGCCUUUGAAUCAAGGCGGGGGACAUUGUUAGGUGGGCAGUUUGACUGGGGCGGUCGCCUCCUAAAGAGUAACGGAGGCGUUCAAAGGUUCGCUCAGCUUGAACGGAAAUCAAGCAAAAGAGUGCAAACGCAGAAGCGAGCCUAACUGCGAGACUGACGGGUCGAGCAGUAACGAAAGUUGGAGUUAGUGAUCCGGUGGUAUGUGAGUGGAAAUGCCAUCGCUCAACGGAUAAAAGUUACCCUGGGGAUAACAGGCUGAUCUCCCCCAAGAGUCCACAUCGACGGGGAGGUUUGGCACCUCGAUGUCGGCUCAUCGCAUCCUGGGGCUGUAUUCGGUCCCAAGGGUUUGGCUGUUCGCCAAUUAAAGCGGUACGCGAGCUGGGUUCAGAACGUCGUGAGACAGUUCGGUCCCUAUCUGUCGUGGGCGCAGGAUAUUUGAUGGGAGCUGUUCCUAGUACGAGAGGACCGGAGCGGACGUACCUCUGGCGCACCAGUUGUUCUGCCAAGAGCAUAGCUGGGCAACUAUGUACGGAUCGGAUAAACGCUGAAAGCAUCUAAGCGUGAAGCCGACCCAAAGAUAAGAUAUCCCAUUGUUUCAAACAAGUAAGACCCCUUGAAGACUACAAGGUUGAUAGGCACGAUGUGUAAGUGGAGUGAUCCAUUCAGCAAGCGUGUACUAAUAGGUCGAGGGCUUGACCAC
This 992-nucleotide ribosomal RNA is filed under the name human gut metagenome. Its description in RNAcentral is "bacterial LSU rRNA". It matches the Rfam family "Bacterial large subunit ribosomal RNA", at positions 1938 to 2925 of the family's 2925-position model. The record is from RNAcentral.